CUCGGUGGGGGGUCCCCCUCAGCCCAGAUUGCAAGAGGGCACAGGCCAGGCUGAGGGAUCCCACCAGUGCAUG
This 73-nucleotide microRNA precursor is filed under the name Myotis brandtii (Brandt's bat). RNAcentral's name for it is "mir-9193 microRNA precursor family". It matches the Rfam family "mir-9193 microRNA precursor family". Lineage: Eukaryota; Metazoa; Chordata; Mammalia; Chiroptera; Vespertilionidae. The record is from Rfam by way of RNAcentral.